GGGAGCAGACUCGCCGGCCGCAGCGCCUCCACCGAGGCUCGGGCGCGGAGCUCGGCUCACCUGGCAGUUCCUAAUUACAGGGGAGUUCGCCCCUACAUUUUUGUGUGCUUUAUUUUCUCGGAGGAAACUCAAGCUCGUCUCUCGGGUCUUGGAGAGCUCACGGCCAGCAGCCGGGCCAUCGCGGCCCCCGAGCCCAAGGAGAAGGUGGGGAGGAAGUCGGGGCCCCUACGGACUGCACAGACUCCCACACCUCCGACUACGCCCAGGUGAAAAGUCCCGACCUGCCCACGACAACGACGACGGAGGCUCCGGGGUUCCCUGUGCCUGCCUCGAACCCUGCACCCUGGCGCCCCAGGCUUACCCGGCUUUUUUUGUCUGGAGCAGGCCCGCUGGACACAGCUGCCUCACCAGCCAGAGCUGGUGUAAGCUGUGGCACAGUGGACACCUUGUCCGAGGCCUGCCAGCUGGCUGCUGUCUGCAUAGCCAAGCAUGGACAACCACUACAGGCAGCCCGAGGAUCCCGAACCAGGUGGAAAAGGCCUAUGCCUAUCUGAAGGAGAUUAUGUGAUCACCAAGCAGAACUGCUGAGCAGAACCAGCUUGAAGCUGCAAGAGAAGGACUUGGAGAGUAACGUGGAGAUCAAGGACAUGAAGGAAACCAUAUUUGAGUUGGAAGAUCAAGUGGUAGCACUAGGCAGUGAAGUUAUAUAACAACCACCUUAUCAGUGAGCUGGAAAGUAACGAGAUCAAGUUGGAGCAGCAGAAGUCAGACCUAGAAAGUCUGCUGAAGACUCUGACCAAGGAAGGAGGAGACAGAGGAAUGGAGGAGAUUCCAGGCAGACCUGCAGACCUCAGUGGUGGUAGCCAACCACAUCAAGUGUGAGGUCCAGUAGGAGCUGCACACUGUGAAGAGGAGGCUGCUGGAGGAGGAGAAGAAUGCUGGGCUGCAGGAGGAGCUGGGCAACAUGUAGGGACACCACAGCUCUGUGGUCUCUGUCAGCUAACAAAGCAUGUGGUGAAAGAAAGGCAGCCUAACCCUUGCCAUGUCCAGAAACUACAGCCAUUUCUAUAAGAAAGAAGAAAACUGUAGAGGAGACCCCACCUCUUUCUAAAGAGCCUGGAGUCUUCUCCUAGCCCUCAGUCUCAGACAGUCAUUCCCAUCAAGUGUCCUUACCUUUUUUCUAUGUUUUAGAAUCAAUUCACUGCAUGAUCAGACAUGAUCAGACAUCUUCUUUUUUUCUCUCCCCUCAGUCUUUGAUUUGGAGAGUAAAAUGAAGUUGCUCUGAAAAAGCAAAAUGCAAGUCUUGUGAAAACAAACAAACAAACAAACAAACAACUUUUUAUAUGCAGCGAGCAUUCAGAAAAAGCAGUGGUAUAGCCAGUUCAGAGCAUGAAACACAAUGCUUGUGUUCAACCUUUUGGUAUUUAUUUUUACACUUCCUUUUGAAUGUGGUACCUGAUUUUCUUGGAAAUCAUACUACUAAAGGCAAAAUAGAAAUGAUACCUAUUUCAAAGAUUUGCAGAACGUUUUGCUUCCUUAUCUCGGGUCUCAAGCUGGGGUCUGACUUAAUUAUUUCAUUUGCAGCAAGCCACUGCUUAGGUCUGGUAUGAAUUCCAGAAUCUUCUGGGUCGUCCCAGACCCAGUGGCUUAAACACACGUGGGUG
Long non-coding RNA from Tupaia belangeri chinensis (Chinese tree shrew), 1664 nucleotides. RefSeq lists it as uncharacterized. The transcript has 3 exons. The record is from RefSeq and is a predicted model, not a curated record. Lineage: Eukaryota; Metazoa; Chordata; Mammalia; Scandentia; Tupaiidae.